ACCGUGCGCUUGCCGAAUCCCGUCCGCGGGAACCGGGGACCCAACACCUGGGGUGAAUCGGGCAGCCGUCAGGCCCGUAGGAGACCUUCCUGCUCCGAACCCGUCAGCUAACCCGGUAGGCGAGAGGGAAGGAAAGG
RNAcentral lists this small RNA (137 nucleotides) under Streptomyces sp. RNAcentral describes it as "c-di-AMP sequence". It matches the Rfam family "c-di-AMP riboswitch aptamer (ydaO/yuaA leader)". Rfam says of the family: This family represents a conserved RNA structure found upstream of the ydaO and yuaA genes in Bacillus subtilis and related genes in other bacteria. The ydaO/yuaA element is thought to act as a genetic "off" switch for the ydaO and yuaA genes in its native state. Lineage: Bacteria; Bacillati; Actinomycetota; Actinomycetes; Kitasatosporales; Streptomycetaceae. RNAcentral also lists the same sequence under 1 other name. The record is from RNAcentral.